UUUCACAAAUAAUCAAGCAUAUAUUAUAUAAUUUGUUAUCCAAUCCACUCAAGAAAUGAUUCCUUUAUGAGUACAAAUAGUGAAUGCUUUCAUUAUUUCACUUUGAAUGACUAAAUGGCAGCAUAAAAGAAAAAACUUGAAACACAAAAGAUCAAGACACUGAACUUUUAGAAACUAUAGACAACUCAAAAUCGCCUUUUGAUUAGUGCAACUGUGACAUCAUUUGGCGAAAUGCACCAUAACCCAGUUCAUGUAAAAAUUGUUAUUUGCAUUCAGUGAACUCAUUAGUCGUUAGCAUCCCUUUGGAUUCACCUGCAUGAUCAUUUUGGAAAGUGGUGCAAGAUUGAUUUUGUGCUCUGCAUCAUGGCCAAGCCAAGUCCUGGCACGCCAAGACCUGCAUGUCAGAUAUCAAUAUCGAAGUGUAUAUUGUUCAAUAACUGCAGCUUCAGAAAACACAUCUGCCAUACAAAACAUCCAACCUUGAGAAAAGCUUCCGUCAAUUCAGCAAAUUAUUCUCAUUCAUGGAAGCCCAAGCUCCUAAUACCAUCAAUCCAUUAAAACUAAUGUCAGCUUUGCUGUUCAAGCACAUCUGCAAUUGUAUUUCUAACUUCACUGCAUAGAACUUCAGGAUCACUUCCUUCUACUGGCUUAUGAAUAACAAUUCUCACAGACCCAAAAUUCAAGAUACCCUCCAUUCCUGGAGGCAUGAUUUUUCCAGUCCCUAUAAGGGUAAUAGGUACUAUAGGCACCCUGGUUUUCGCUGCAACCGAGAAUGCACCUUUCUUGAAAGUGCCUAAUUUUCCAUCUUUACUCCGUGUUCCUUCUGGGAAGAAAAAUACAGACGUCCCCUUCUUCACUAGUUCCAUGCACCGUUUUAGACAUUCCAACUGGCUUCUGCUGUCCAUCCGCUUCAAAGGAAUGACACCCAUCAUAAACAUGGCCCAUCCAAUGAUAGGAAAUAGAAAUAUCCCAGUCUUGCUUAUAAACCUAAAGGUUCUUCCAAGAGUGAGAAGUGUAUAUAUGUCUAGAAAACUCUGGUGGUUUGAAACAUAUACAGCAGGGGUAUCUGGAGAAGGUAGAUUAUCCAAUCCCUCAAACUUGAUUCUUAAAAAUGGAGUGACACUCAACGAUGCCCAAAUUUUGGCAAUGAAAUAAUGAGCUUUUCUUUGGUACCGAUCCAACAAGAGCACAAAAGGAUGCUGUACCAACAUCAGCACAAACAGAAAAAUGGCAGCAAUUGCAGUAACAGCACAAAAGCACACUCCCCUAACUUUUGACCCUAAUUUAGUUUCUGCACUUUAGAGAAGUUUUUCAGAAGACAAAAUUAGCACAAAGUUGAAAUUGAAUUAAGGCAAAUGUCUGAUAAAGGCUCCUGCUACCUGAUAAUGAAUAGGAAGAAUCCGGGAUCCCAUUUCCCACAAGUUCAGAUCUUACACCUGCGUGUCUUCGCAACUUAUUGCUUUUAUUCAAUUUAUAGUCAAAAUAUGGCCAGUUGAACUCCUCUUGUGAGUGAUAAGUCCAUGGAAUUCCCACAUGCUUCCUUUGAAUGCAUAAAGAGCCAUUCAAAGCAGAGUUAGUUGAAUUUCUCAAAAUUGCUUGCUUAAUUGAUAAGUGUCCAAAUAGUCUUUUAUGCUCAUAGAACCGCAAUGAAGUAGAUGAAAGACAAAGGCUGGAUCUUCCACAACAGAGAAGAAGAGGAUUAUGAAUUGGGUGAGAAGCGACUUCCAUGAAUGCAAAGAAAACAAGCAAAAGGAAUCAGUGAUUAUGUGCAGCAUACAAGAUUGAUAUUGAUACAAGAUUGAUAUUGAAAAGGGAAAGAAGGGGAGAGGGGGUAGGGUUACAAGGAGGGAAGCAGCAAAAAUGGAAAAAUUUUGCGAAUUUCGAGGUAAUAUUCCUUUAUCCUGUUUCCUUUAUCCUGAUUGCUGAGGUUCCUUUCAGGUCAGCAAAUGCCAUCGCUUUGGGGGUUUGGAUUGGGACUGGAAGAGGGUUGUGUCGUCUGCUCCCCCAUGGCAGAACAUAUUUAGGUCCGAAA
RNAcentral lists this unclassified non-coding RNA (2032 nucleotides) under Hevea brasiliensis (rubber tree). The record is from RNAcentral. Lineage: Eukaryota; Viridiplantae; Streptophyta; Magnoliopsida; Malpighiales; Euphorbiaceae.